Medicago truncatula (barrel medic) is the source of this 88-nucleotide microRNA precursor. It matches the Rfam family "MIR2617 microRNA precursor family". The record is from Rfam. Lineage: Eukaryota; Viridiplantae; Streptophyta; Magnoliopsida; Fabales; Fabaceae.
UUGCGAUGUAGCAUGCCCGUUUGGUGCUUAACUCUGAUGUAUGAUUGUUAUUUAAUUACUUUUGGGUAACGGGGUGUUACAAAUUGCA